Molecule: ribosomal RNA, 576 nt
Filed under: Paraschistura montana
Lineage: Eukaryota; Metazoa; Chordata; Actinopteri; Cypriniformes; Nemacheilidae
Description: partial 16S ribosomal RNA
Rfam family: Bacterial large subunit ribosomal RNA
Source: RNAcentral
CGCCUCCUGCGAACCCCUACGUAUAGGAGGUCCAGCCUGCCCAGUGACUAUAAGUUCAACGGCCGCGGUAUUUUGACCGUGUAAAGGUAGCGCAAUCACUUGUCUUUUAAAUGAAGACCUGUAUGAAUGGCCAAACGAGGGCUUAGCUGUCUCCCCUAUCAAGUCAGUGAAAUUGAUCUAUCCGUGCAGAAGCGGGUAUUAAAAUACAAGACGAGAAGACCCUUUGGAGCUUAAGGUACAAAUCCACCUACGUUAAACAGCUUCCUAAGAAAGCGUAAACCUAAUAGAACAUGGAGUUUUACCUUCGGUUGGGGCGACCGCGGAGAACAAAAAAUCCUCCUAGUGGAUUGGAAACUUCCCUAGAACCAAGAAAGACACUUCCAAGUCACAGAAAAUCUGACCAAAUAUGAUCCGGCCACCCAGGCCGAUCAACGAACCAAGUUACCCUAGGGAUAACAGCGCAAUCCCCUCUAAGAGUCCAUAUCGACGAGAGGGUUUACGACCUCGAUGUUGGAUCAGGACAUCCUAAUGGUGCAGCCGCUAUUAAGGGUUCGUUUGUUCAACGAUUAAAGUCCU